CUUAUCCCUAGAGGCAUUGCAAGUGUGGCUGCUGUGCCCUAUGUGCUUCAACAGGAGGCAGAGAGUGAGGGGCCAUGUCUACACUCAGUGUUCUGACCUGUGAGCAGCCCUGAAAAAGUGAGCCUGAGAUG
Molecule: small nucleolar RNA, 131 nt
Organism: Apodemus sylvaticus (European woodmouse)
Lineage: Eukaryota; Metazoa; Chordata; Mammalia; Rodentia; Muridae
Product: small nucleolar RNA SNORA17
Exons: 1
Source: RefSeq, a predicted model, not a curated record